UACGUAGGGUGCAGGCGUUACUCGGAAUUACUGGGCGUAAAGCGUGCGCAGGCGGUUUGCUAAGACAGGUGUGAAAUCCCCGGGCUUAACCUGGGAACUGCGCUUGUAACUGGCAAGCUUGAGUGUGGCAGAGGGGGGUGGAAUUCCACGUGUAGCAGUGAAAUGCGUAGAGAUGUGGAGGAACACCGAUGGCGAAGGCAGCCCCCUGGGCUAACACUGACGCUCAUGCACGAAAGCGUGGGGAGCAAACAGG
RNAcentral lists this ribosomal RNA (253 nucleotides) under uncultured bacterium. Its description in RNAcentral is "partial 16S ribosomal RNA". It matches the Rfam family "Bacterial small subunit ribosomal RNA", at positions 524 to 776 of the family's 1533-position model. The record is from RNAcentral.